Non-coding RNA from Rhodotorula diobovata, 91 nucleotides. NCBI's taxonomy places the organism in Eukaryota, Fungi, Basidiomycota, Microbotryomycetes, Sporidiobolales, Sporidiobolaceae. The record is from the annotation of a GenBank genome assembly.
GGUGUUUUGGCCGAGCGGUCUAAGGCGCUAGCUUAAGGUCAUUCUGAUCCGCUAGUCCGAAAGGGCGUGAGUUCGAAUCUCACAGACAUCA